Erinaceus europaeus (western European hedgehog) is the source of this 113-nucleotide ribosomal RNA. Lineage: Eukaryota; Metazoa; Chordata; Mammalia; Eulipotyphla; Erinaceidae. The record is from Ensembl.
AUUGUCUAUGGCCAUACCACCCUGAACAUGCCCGAUCUUGUCUGAUUUCGGAAGUUAAGCAGUGUCAGGCUUGGUUAGUACUUGAAUGGGAGAAGAACCAGAUACAGGCAAUC